CCUAGUUGAUCCUGCCAGUAGUCAUACGCUUGUCUCAAAGAUUAAGCCAUUAAUGUCUAAGUAUGAACUAAUUCAGGCUGUGAAACUACAGAUGGCUCAUUAAAUCAAUUAUAGUUUUUUUGAUGGUACCAUACUACUCGAAUAAUUGUAAUAAUUCUAGAGAAAAUGCGUGCACCAAGUCCCGACUCUUUGGAAGGGAUGCAUUUUUUAGAUAAAAGGUCGGCGGGGGCUUGGCCGCUUCUCCAGUGAAUCAUGAUAACUCAAUGGAUUGCACAGCCCUUGUGUUGGUGAUGCUUCAUUCAAAUUUCUACCCUAUCAACUUUCGAUGGUAGGAUAGAGGCCUACCAUGGUGGUGAUGGGUAAUGGAGAAUUAGGGUUUGAUUCUGGAGAGAGAGCUUGGGAAACAACUACCACAUCCAAGGAAGGUAGCAGGCGUGCAAAUUACCCAAUCCUAACAUGGGGAGGUAGUGACAAUAAAUAAAAAUAUUGGGCUCAUCAAGUCUGGUAAUUGGAAUGAGUAUAAUCUAAAUCCCUUAAUGAGGAUCCAUUGGAGGGAAAGUCUAGUGCCAGCAGCCAUGGUAAUUCCAACUCCAAUAGCGUAUAUUUAAUUUUUCGCAGUUAAAAAGCUUGUAGUUGGAUCUUGGGUUGUAAAGGUCGGUUCGCCUACUUGGUGUGCACCUACCCUUUUGUCCUUUUUGUCGGCGACGUGCUCCUGGCCUUAAUUGGCUGGGUUGCUACUCUUGUGCUGUUACUUUGAAAAAAUUAGAGUGCUCAAAGAAAGCUUAUGCUCUAAAUACAUUAGCGUGGAAUAACAUGAUUGGAGUCUGGUCCUAUUGUGUUGGCCUUCGGGACCGGACUAAUGAUUAAUAGGGACUGUCGGGAGCAUUUGUAUUUCAUUGUCAGAGGUGAAAUUAUUGGAUUUAUGAAAGAUGUACCAUUGCAAAAGCAUUUGCCAAGGAUUUUUUCAUUAAUCAAGAAUGAAAGUUGGGGGCUCAAAGACGAUUAGAUACCAUCCUAGUCUCAACCAUAAACGAUGUCGACUAGGGAUCAAGAGAUAUUUUUGUAAGGAUCCACCAACACAUUCUGAUAAAUCAAAGUGUUUGGGUUCCAGGGGGAGUAUGGUUGCAAGGCUAAAACAUAAAGGAAUUGAUGGAAGGGCACCACCAGGAGUGGAACCUGCAGCUUAAUUUGACUGAACAUGAGGAAACUUACCAGGUCCAGACAUAGUAAGGAUUGACAGAUUGAGAGUUAUUUCUUGAUUCUAUGGGUGGUGGUACAUGGCCAUUCUUAGUUGGUGGAGUGAUUUGUCUUGUUAAUUCCAAUAAUGAAUGAGACCUCAACCUACUAACUAGCUACAUGGAGGUUCCACUUCAUAGCCAACUUCUUAGAGGGACUAUGGCGAUUUAGGCCAUGGAACUUUGAGGCAAUAAUAGGUAUGUGAUGCCCUUUGAUGUUCUGGGCCACACAUGUGCUACACUAAUGCAACCAACACGUUUUUAUUCCUGGUUUGAGAGGAUCGUGAAAUCUUCUCAAAUUGCAUCGUGAUGGGCAUAGACCAUUGCAAUUAUUGGUCUUCAAUGAGGAAUUCCUAGUAAGCACGUGUCAUCAACUCAUGGGUCCCUACCCUUUGUACACACCGCCUGUCACUCCUGCUGAUUGAAUGGUCUGGUGAAGUGUUCAGAUUGCAUCGAAGGUGGUGGUUCACCACCGUCAACGUCGUGAUAAUUUCAUUGAAACUUUUCAUUUAGAGGAAGGAGAAGUCAUAACAAGGUUACCGUAGGUGAACCUGCUAUAG
This 1795-nucleotide ribosomal RNA is filed under the name Pinus taeda (loblolly pine). Its description in RNAcentral is "SSU rRNA". It matches the Rfam family "Eukaryotic small subunit ribosomal RNA". The record is from RNAcentral. Lineage: Eukaryota; Viridiplantae; Streptophyta; Pinopsida; Pinales; Pinaceae.